Molecule: transfer RNA, 77 nt
Filed under: Alphaproteobacteria bacterium
Lineage: Bacteria; Pseudomonadati; Pseudomonadota; Alphaproteobacteria
Also listed under: 2 other names
Description: tRNA-Pro
Rfam family: tRNA
About the family: Transfer RNA (tRNA) molecules are approximately 80 nucleotides in length. Their secondary structure includes four short double-helical elements and three loops (D, anti-codon, and T loops).
Source: RNAcentral
CGGACUGUAGCGCAGCCUGGUAGCGCACUUGUCUGGGGGACAAGGGGUCGUGGGUUCAAAUCCCGCCAGUCCGACCA